AUUGAACGCUGGCGGCAUGCCUAACACAUGCAAGUCGAACGGCAGCACGGCAGUAGCAAUACUGUGGGUGGCGAGUGGCGGACGGGUGAGGAAUACGUCGGAAUCUGCCCAGUCGUGGGGGAUAACUAGCCGAAAGGUUAGCUAAUACCGCAUACGACCGAGAGGUGAAAGCGGGGGACCGCAAGGCCUCGCGCGAUUGGAUGAGCCGACGUCGGAUUAGCUAGUUGGUGGGGUAAAGGCCCACCAAGGCGACGAUCCGUAGCUGGUCUGAGAGGAUGAUCAGCCACACUGGAACUGAGACACGGUCCAGACUCCUACGGGAGGCAGCAGUGGGGAAUAUUGGACAAUGGGCGCAAGCCUGAUCCAGCAAUGCCGCGUGUGUGAGAAGGCCUCGGUUGUAAG
RNAcentral lists this ribosomal RNA (402 nucleotides) under uncultured bacterium. RNAcentral describes it as "bacterial SSU rRNA". It matches the Rfam family "Bacterial small subunit ribosomal RNA", at positions 29 to 429 of the family's 1533-position model. The record is from RNAcentral.